CCCGCCACGGCGUCGUUUCCGCGUUGCUUCCCCGGCCCAUCUCAUCUCCUCCCUCUCUUUGAUUAUUCUUGCGCUCCCUACCCGAGAGGUCAGGACUCAAGACUGAGGAGAAAGAAAAGUCCAGCCCAACUCUCUCGUCUCGACAUCUCUCUCUUCUUAACGCCCGUCCAGGUCUCGCCGCCAUUGCGUCAGGGACUCUCGGAACCCCGGUUCUUGGACAUCCUCGCAGGUCUGGUUCGUCUGCCGGGGGCUCCUCUCCUCUCGUGGUCGAUCCUGGUUGAGCGUCAUUGAGUUAAAGGGAACAUGUUUCGGAAAAAGCAAGCUUCUCAUUUCGAUUCAGAUGAUGCUGAGCAGAGACAAGCAAAGAUCAAGGAACUAAAAGCUGCACUUGGGCCUUUUUCUGCCCGUGGAAAGAAAUAUUGUGAUGAAGCAUGCUUGGUAAGAUAUCUCGAGGCCCGCAACUGGAAUGUUGACAAGUCUAGAAAAAUGCUGGAAGAAAGUAUCAAGUGGAGGGCCGCUAAGAGACCUGAGGAUAUUCGCUGGCCGGAUGUUUCCGUUGAAGCAGAAACGGGUAAAAUGUACAGGGCCACUUUCACAGAUAGAGAGGGGAGAACCGUGGUUGUAAUGAGGCCUGCAAAGCAGAAUACAUCGUCUCACGAAGGGCAGUUGCAAUAUCUUGUAUAUACCUUGGAGAAUGCAGUCCUCAGCCUGCCUGAAGGUCAUGACAAAAUGGUGUGGCUGAUAGACUUCACAGGAUGGACACUGGCCCAUGCAACCCCCUUCAAGACUGCCAGAGACUGUAUGAAUGUCCUGCAAAACCAUUACCCGGAGAGGCUUUCAAUUGCGUUUCUGUUCAAUCCGCCCAAAGUAUUUGAGGCUUCUUUUAAGGUUCUCAAAGUACUGGUUGACCCGAAAUCAGCCCAGAAGCUGAACUUCGUGUACAAGGAGAAUGAAGAGAGCAUGAAGACAAUGUACAGCCACAUUGAUCCAGAAGUCCUUCCUGUGGAGUUUGGAGGGAAGAACAAUGUCGUGUACAACCAUGAGGAUUACUCUAAGUUGAUGAUAAAGGAUGACAUCAAAAGAGCAAGCUUUUGGGCAGCAGAUGUUAGCCAUGUCGUCAACGUGGACUCGGUUCCUGAGGUUAAACCGCAGUCGUCACUAAUUGUUGCUAAAGCGAGUUGAGGAACAUCGGCAAGCCAUCUUAUCUGUUAUUGCAGAAGUUGGUUGAGGAGCUUCAGUGAGCCAUUGUGACAGUUCUUGGUACAGCUCUGAAAGAGGAAUGCAUCGAUAUAAGUUGCGGAUGUUUGGAUAAAUAAAUGUAACUGCGGAAUAUCUCGCUUGUGAUGUUACAAAAAUAGUUAUUACAACAAUUCCAUAUUCCCUUGACCAACAAUUUGACACACUAAAGAAUUCAAAGCCCUUUGGCGCAUUUCAGCGAUGCCGGCAUGGCGGCGUGUUACCAAAACGCUUCAGCUGACACUCAACCGCAACAGCGUGAUUCCACAGAUCCAGAUCCAUUCCACCGCGUCGUUUCGGUCUUGCCGGCAUUGCGUCGGUGAAUCUCGCAAUCCCGCGUUAUUGGUCAUAGUCGCAGGCCCGGUCCGUCUCCUCUCCUCUCGUGGUCGAUCCUGGUUGAGCAUCAUUGAGAGUUGAAGAAAACAUGUUUUGGAGAAAGCAGGCUUCUCAUUUUGAUUUAGAUGAUGUUGAGCAAAGACAAGCAAAGAUCAAGGAACUGAGAGCUGCACUUGGGCCUUUGUCCACCCGUGGAGAGAAAUAUUGCAGUGAAGCAUGCUUGGUAAGAUAUCUCGAGGCCCGCAACUGGAAUGUUGACAAUUCUAGAAAAAUGCUGGAAGAAAGUCUCAAGUGGAGGGCAGCCAGGAGGCCUGAGGAUAUUCGCUGGCUGGAUGUUUCUGUUGAAGCAGAAACAGGUAAAAUGUACAGGGCACCUUUUACAGACAGAGAGGGGAGAACCGUGAUUGUAAUGAGACCUGCAAAGCAGAAUACAUCAUCUCACGAAGGGCAGUUGCAGUAUCUUACAUAUACCUUGGAGAAUGCAGUCCUCAACCUGCCUCAAGGUCAAGACAAAAUGGUGUUGUUGAUAGACUUCACAGGAUGGACACUGGCCCAUAGAAGUCCCUUCAAGACUUCCAGAGAGAGUAUGACUACCGUGCAAAGCCAUUACCCGGAGAGACUUUCAGCUGCAUUUAUGUUCAAUCCGCCCAAAAUAUUUGAGGCCUCUUUUAAGGUUCUCAAAGUAUUGAUUGACCCGAAAUCAGCCCAGAAACUCAACUUUGUGUACAAGGAGAACGAGGAGAGCAUGAAGACAAUGUACAACCACAUUGAUCCAGAAGUCCUUCCUGUAGAGUUUGGAGGGAAGAACAAUGUUGUCUACAACCAUGAGGAUUACUCUAAGUUGAUGACAAAGGAUGACAUCAAAACAGCAAGCUUUUGGGGGGCAGACAGUAACCAUGCCACGAACGGGCACUCGGUUCCUGCGGUUAAAUCGCAGUCAUCACUAACUGUUGCUAAAGCAAGUUGAGAAACAUUGGCCAGCCAUCCCACCGGCUGUUGCUAAAGCAAAUUGAGAUGCAUCAGGCAGCCAUUAUGAGCUUACGAUGGCCUUCGGUACAGUUCUGAAAGAGAAAUAAAGAAAUGCAACUGCAGAAUAUCUCGCUUGUGAAUUUAUGAUGUUACAAACAACGGUUAUACUUGCUCAUCACAAAAUAAGUGAUUUCAUUACCACCCUUGGCC
This 2751-nucleotide ribosomal RNA is filed under the name Triticum aestivum (bread wheat). RNAcentral describes it as "partial small subunit ribosomal RNA". The record is from RNAcentral. Lineage: Eukaryota; Viridiplantae; Streptophyta; Magnoliopsida; Poales; Poaceae.